AUUGAACGCUGGCGGCAUGCCUUACACAUGCAAGUCGAACGGUAACAGGUCUUCGGAUGCUGACGAGUGGCGAACGGGUGAGUAAUACAUCGGAACGUGCCUAGUAGUGGGGGAUAACUACUCGAAAGAGUGGCUAAUACCGCAUGAGAUCUACGGAUGAAAGCAGGGGAUCGCAAGACCUUGUGCUACUAGAGCGGCCGAUGGCAGAUUAGGUAGUUGGUGGGAUAAAAGCUUACCAAGCCGACGAUCUGUAGCUGGUCUGAGAGGACGAUCAGCCACACAGGGACUGAGACACGGCCCAGGCUCCUACGGGAGGCAGCAGUGGGGAAUUUUGGACAAUGGGCGAAAGCCUGAUCCAGCAAUGCCGCGUGCAGGAUGAAGGCCUUCGGGUUGUAAACUGCUUUUGUACGGAACGAAAAGCCCCGGGUUAAUACCCUGGGGUCAUGACGGUACCGUAAGAAUAAGCACCGGCUAACUACGUGCCAGCAGCCGCGGUAA
This 498-nucleotide ribosomal RNA is filed under the name uncultured bacterium. RNAcentral describes it as "partial 16S ribosomal RNA". It matches the Rfam family "Bacterial small subunit ribosomal RNA", at positions 30 to 523 of the family's 1533-position model. The record is from RNAcentral.